UACGUAGGGCGCAAGCGUUGUCCGGAAUUAUUGGGCGUAAAGAGCUCGUAGGCGGUUUGUCGCGUCUGCUGUGAAAUCCCGAGGCUCAACCUCGGGCUUGCAGUGGGUACGGGCAGACUAGAGUGCGGUAGGGGAGACUGGAAUUCCUGGUGUAGCGGUGGAAUGCGCAGAUAUCAGGAGGAACACCGAUGGCGAAGGCAGGUCUCUGGGCCGCAACUGACGCUGGAGGAGCGAAAGCAGUGGGGAGCGAACAGG
RNAcentral lists this ribosomal RNA (255 nucleotides) under uncultured bacterium. Its description in RNAcentral is "partial 16S ribosomal RNA". It matches the Rfam family "Bacterial small subunit ribosomal RNA", at positions 524 to 776 of the family's 1533-position model. The record is from RNAcentral.